GAUUAAGCCAUGCAUGUCUAAGUAUAAGCAAUUAUACAGCGAAACUGCGAAUGGCUCAUUAUAUAAGUUAUCGUUUAUUUGAUAGUGCCUUACUACUUGGAUAACCGUGGUAAUUCUAGAGCUAAUACAUGCUAAAAAUCCCGACUUCGGAAGGGAUGUAUUUAUUAGAUUAAAAACCAAUGCCCUCUGGGCUUUUUGGUGAUUCAUGAUAACUUCACGAAUCGCACGGCCUUGCGCCGGCGAUGGCUCAUUCAAAUUUCUUCCCUAUCAACUUUCGAUGUUUGGGUAGUGGCCAAACAUGGUUGCAACGGGUAACGGAGGGUUAGGGCUCGACCCCGGAGAAGGAGCCUGAGAAACGGCUACUACAUCCAAGGAAGGCAGCAGGCGCGCAAAUUACCCAAUCCCGAUUCGGGGAGGUAGUGACAAUAAAUACUGAUACAGGGCUCUUUCGGGUCUUGUAAUCGGAAUGAGUACAAUUUAAAUCCCUUAACGAGGAACAAUUGGAGGGCAAGUCUGGUGCCAGCAGCCGCGGUAAUUCCAGCUCCAAUAGCGUAUAUUAAAGUUGUUGUGGUUAAAAAGCUCGUAGUUGAACCUUGGGCCUGGCUGGCCGGUCCGCCUCACCGCGAGUACUGGUCCGGCCGGGUCUUUCCCUCUGUGGAACCCCAUGCCCUUCACUGGGUGUGGCGGGGAAACAGGACUUUUACUUUGAAAAAAUUAGAGUGCUCCAGGCAGGCCUAUGCUCGAAUAUAUUAGCAUGGAAUAAUAGAAUAGGACGUGUGGUUCUAUUUUGUUGGUUUCUAGGACCGCCGUAAUGAUUAAUAGGGACAGUCGGGGGCAUCAGUAUUCAAUUGUCAGAGGUGAAAUUCUUGGAUUUAUUGAAGACUAACUACUGCGAAAGCAUUUGCCAAGGAUGUUUUCAUUAAUCAGGAACGAAAGUUAGGGGAUCGAAAACGAUCAGAUACCGUUGUAGUCUUAACCAUAAACUAUGCCGACUCGGGAUCGGACGAUGUUAUUUUUUGACUCGUUCGGCACCGUACGAUAAAUCAAAGUGCUUGGGCUCCAGGGGGAGUAUGGUCGCAAGGCUGA
Molecule: ribosomal RNA, 1086 nt
Filed under: Stachybotrys bisbyi
Lineage: Eukaryota; Fungi; Ascomycota; Sordariomycetes; Hypocreales; Stachybotryaceae
Description: SSU rRNA
Rfam family: Eukaryotic small subunit ribosomal RNA
Source: RNAcentral